GAUGAACGCUAGCUACAGGCUUAACACAUGCAAGUCGAGGGGCAGCAUUAUCUUAGCUUGCUAAGAUAGAUGGCGACCGGCGCACGGGUGAGUAACACGUAUCCAACCUUCCGGUUACUCGGGGAUAGGCUUUCGAAAGAAAGAUUAAUACCCGAUGUUGCGUAUCUUUCUCCUGAAAGAUACGCCAAAGGAUUCCGGUAACCGAUGGGGAUGCGUUCCAUUAGGCAGUUGGCGGGGUAACGGCCCACCAAACCUUCGAUGGAUAGGGGUUCUGAGAGGAAGGUCCCCCACAUUGGAACUGAGACACGGUCCAAACUCCUACGGGAGGCAGCAGUGAGGAAUAUUGGUCAAUGGACGGAAGUCUGAACCAGCCAAGUAGCGUGAAGGAUGACUGCCCUCUGGGUUGUAAACUUCUUUUAUACGGGAAUAACAUGAGGUACGCGUACCUUAUUGCAUGUACCGUUAUGAAUAAGCAUCGGCUAACUCCGUGCCAGCAGCCGCGGUAAUACGGAGGAUGCGAGCGUUAUCCGGAUUUAUUGGGUUUAAAGGGAGCGUAGGUGGGAUAUUAAGUCAGCUGUGAAAGUUUGGGGCUCAACCUUAAAAUUGCAGUUGAUACUGGUUUCCUUGAGUACGGUACAGGUGGACGGAAUUCGUGGUGUAGCGGUGAAAUGCUUAGAUAUCACGAAGAACUCCGAUCGCGAAGGCAGCUCACCGGGCCGGAACUGACACUGAUGCUCGAAAGUGCGGGUAUCANACAGG
This 759-nucleotide ribosomal RNA is filed under the name uncultured bacterium. RNAcentral's name for it is "bacterial SSU rRNA". It matches the Rfam family "Bacterial small subunit ribosomal RNA", at positions 28 to 776 of the family's 1533-position model. The record is from RNAcentral.